UCCGGCUUGUCGCCGGCGGUCCCUCUAGAGUGCCCAACUGAAUGAUGGCAACUAAAGGCGAGGGUGCGCUCGUUGCGGGACUUAACCCAACAUCUCACGACACGAGCUGACGACAGCCAUGCAGCACCUGUGUUCGCGUUCCCUUUCGGGCACCCCCGCCUCUCAGCGGGCUUCGCGACAUGUCAAGGGUAGGUAAGGUUGUUCACGUUGCAUCGAAUUAAUCCACAUCAUCCACCGCUUGUGCGGGUCCCCGUCAAUUCCUUUGAGUUUUAACCUUGCGGCCGUACUCCCCAGGCGGUCAACUUCACGCGUUAGCUUCGUUACCAAGGAAUUGCUUCCCCGACAACCAGUUGACAUAGUUUAGGGCGUGGACUAC
RNAcentral lists this unclassified non-coding RNA (376 nucleotides) under uncultured Gammaproteobacteria bacterium. Its description in RNAcentral is "contains 16S-23S intergenic spacer region". Lineage: Bacteria; Pseudomonadati; Pseudomonadota; Gammaproteobacteria. The record is from RNAcentral.